Long non-coding RNA from Phasianus colchicus (ring-necked pheasant), 1189 nucleotides. RefSeq lists it as uncharacterized. The record is from RefSeq and is a predicted model, not a curated record. Lineage: Eukaryota; Metazoa; Chordata; Aves; Galliformes; Phasianidae.
AGAAGGGGACAGACCCUGUAGCAGAGUCUGUGGUAACAGAACAAGGGAAAAUGGUCUCAAACUAAGAGAGGGAUUUAGACUGGAUAGAAAGAAAAUGUUUUUUUACAGUAAGGAUUGCCCAGAGAGGUGAUAGAUGCCCCAUCCUUGGAGACUUUCAAGGUGAGGUUAGAUGGGGAUCUGAGCAACCUGAUCGAACAGUAGCUAUGUUACUCUUCACUAUAAGAGAGUUGGACUAGAUGACCUUUAAGAGUCUGUUCCAUCUCAAACAAUUCUAGGGUUCUACUAUGAUGUUACAGGGCUGCAACACCUGGCCUGUAACACCCUGGCAAGAACCCAAUGUUUCGCACCUUAGGGACAAAGUACAGUCACAGGCUUAUCCAAAGGAAAUCUUACUACUCACUUCCAACCCUCCUGGACACUUUGAAGCUGAAAUGUUCUUCGCAGCUAAAGUCUACAAACCCACUCAAAGGGCAUAGUGCUGGUUAUGAACAUGGCCUACCUAGUGUAUGUUCUCAGAGCCCAGACUUUAAUUCAGAUGAGCCAGAAAUAAAACAGUUGGCCAAGAGGAAAAACAAACAAACAGAACUCCCGCCCCCCCCCACGCAACAGGCUUUUCCAGAACAACCUACUGCUCUGCCUGCACCUCAUGUGUCAUGCUGAAUCACAGAAGAGCAGUGACUCACAGAGAAAACAAAAUAUCCCACUGCUAAACUAGAGACGUUAUCCUCCAUGGAGUAUGUGAUUGUGAUAUAUCCCCCUUCACCAUUCCUUCUUCAUUAAAAUGUCUCAUGAAUAUUUACUCGUUCUGAGGUAUCUUUUGCAUGAUCAAUGAUUUCUUCUGCACAGAAACAAUACUUAGCUAACAUGAAACCAAAAGAGUAGAUAUUUUUACACUGAUCUUCCAAUAAUAGCAGGGAAACAAUUGAUUCCAUGCAAGCACAUCAUCAGCAUCCAUGCCCCGUGAUUUCCACUUGCAUGGUUUGCAUUUUGCCAAGGAACAUCCAGCCCUUCUCAUAGGAAUCACAUGCACUUGUGCAAAAGAUGCAUAAAGAGGCACAUUCAUAAUAACAGAUCUCAGGGAAAGUUUUGACUUAUAAUACACUCCCAAAACAGACCACGUCAAAAAUUAAUGAUAGCACGUUAUUGUUUGAAUAAAGUUUAUCUUUCAUCUAGUAAUAUUCCAACACAU